UGCAGUCGAGGGGCAUCAGUUUGGUUUGCUUGCAAACCAAAGCUGGCGACCGGCGCACGGGUGAGUAACACGUAUCCAACCUGCCUCAUACUCGGGGAUAGCCUUUCGAAAGAAAGAUUAAUAUCCGAUAGCAUAUAUUUCCCGCAUGGGUUUUAUAUUAAAGAAAUUCGGUAUGAGAUGGGGAUGCGUUCCAUUAGUUUGUUGGGGGGGUAACGGCCCACCAAGACUACGAUGGAUAGGGGUUCUGAGAGGAAGGUCCCCCACAUUGGAACUGAGACACGGUCCAAACUCCUACGGGAGGCAGCAGUGAGGAAUAUUGGUCAAUGGACGCGAGUCUGAACCAGCCAAGUAGCGUGAAGGAUGACUGCCCUAUGGGUUGUAAACUUCUUUUAUAUGGGAAUAAAGUUGUCCACGUGUGGAUUUUUGUAUGUACCAUAUGAAUAAGGAUCGGCUAACUCCGUGCCAGCAGCCGCGGUAAUACGGAGGAUCCGAGCGUUAUCCGGAUUUAUUGGGUUUAAAGGGAGCGUAGGCGGAUUGUUAAGUCAGUUGUGAAAGUUUGCGGCUCAACCGUAAAAUUGCAGUUGAUACUGGCAGUCUUGAGUGCAGUAGAGGUGGGCGGAAUUCGUGGUGUAGCGGUGAAAUGCUUAGAUAUCACGAAGAACUCCGAUUGCGAAGGCAGCUCACUGGAGUGUAACUGACGCUGAUGCUCGAA
RNAcentral lists this ribosomal RNA (712 nucleotides) under uncultured bacterium. Its description in RNAcentral is "bacterial SSU rRNA". It matches the Rfam family "Bacterial small subunit ribosomal RNA", at positions 56 to 757 of the family's 1533-position model. The record is from RNAcentral.